CUUUCUUUUGUUACUUAUCAAAUCAUUCAUAUCAAAUUCAUCAAUUGUUAAAAGUAAUCUAGUUCUAAUUUUGUUAUAGAAGAGUCGGAGCCGACUCGAUCAAGAUUAUGUUGAUCAAAGAAAAAUGUAGAAAAAAUGCUGCGUCAGUUAAGUGAGUUUUAUUAAUAAUUUUUUUGUUUUUUGAGUCUUAUUAUUCGUUUUUUUAAUUUAGUAAACAUGCAUGUAUCCAAGACUAUUGACCAUAUCGUUUUGAUUGCUAUAUAAUUAAUCUCAUUGUUUUGAAAGUACUUUUAACAAUCAAUAACAAUUUCCACUUGAAAUAAGUGUCUUUGAUAUGUCAAUCAAGUUACUUUGUCUUAUGCAAUAGGCAACUUAAUACAAACAUAUUUUGGUAUGUGUUUUGGGCACUGGCUAAGUCAUUAUUUGAUAUCAUGUCAAUGAAUUUACAUUUAUAAUAGAGAAAUAUUUAUAAAAAUAUAAAAAAAAUAAAAAUUGUUUUUUUUUUUUUUUUUGUAAAAUAAAAGUUUUGCUUAUGUUAUAAUGAAUUUUUUUUUUUUGUUGUUUUAGUGGAACUGCAAAAAUAUACCUGUACGUUUUUAAUGUUACCGUUUAUUUGUUGUAGAAACUUAAAGUGAUUUUUUAUAUAACAUGUUUACUUCAAUUUUAAAAAAUUAAAUCGUUUUUCAUUUCAUUUACCUCUUUAGUACUACGUGUGAAGCAAUUAGAAAAAGAAAAAGGUUUUUUAAGUUCUACUUUAUACUAGAUAGAUAUUUAAACUAUAUAAACUAUCCUAUUAUUAAACUGAAAUAUUUGCAUUUACUUUUCAGAUACAGUAACGUUAUCUUCACAAGCCACAAACGAUUUGUCCUACGAUAGCUAUCGUAUUUACCGUCGACGGCAACGUGGGCCCACUUCCUACAGCUCCUACAGGAAGUGGGUCAGCAAUAACGGAGUUGACAACUCUUCCUUUAAUUGGAUGGGAAGAAUGUGAGGAGUUGGCAGAGGUCGGGGUGGGUGGCGUAGUCAUAAAAGUUUUAAUUUAUUUAAACUUUAAAUGUAUUGUAAAUAAAGUAUAGUUUUUCUUGUU
Molecule: non-coding RNA, 1087 nt
Organism: Hydra vulgaris (swiftwater hydra)
Lineage: Eukaryota; Metazoa; Cnidaria; Hydrozoa; Anthoathecata; Hydridae
Source: RefSeq, a predicted model, not a curated record